AGGACGAACGCUGGCGGCGUGCUUAACACGUGCAAGUCGAGCGGAAAGGCCCUUCGGGGUACUCGAGCGGCGAACGGGUGAGUAAUACGUGAGCAACCUGCCCUUAGCUCUGGGAUAGCUCCGGGAAACCGGAAUUAAUACCGGAUAUGACCUAGGCCGACAUCGGCCGUGGUGGAAAGUUUUUCGGCUAGGGAUGGACUCGCGGCCUAUCAGCUAGUUGGUGGGUAAUGGCCUACCAAGGCGACGACGGGUAG
Molecule: ribosomal RNA, 254 nt
Filed under: uncultured bacterium
Lineage: Bacteria
Description: partial small subunit ribosomal RNA
Rfam family: Bacterial small subunit ribosomal RNA
Source: RNAcentral